RNAcentral lists this long non-coding RNA (1244 nucleotides) under Sus scrofa (pig). RNAcentral's name for it is "lncRNA (ENSSSCG00070014296.1)". The record is from RNAcentral. Lineage: Eukaryota; Metazoa; Chordata; Mammalia; Artiodactyla; Suidae.
UCUGAACCUGUGAUUCUCCCUGCCCCACGCGCCCCUGGGGAGCAGCACUCCUGAGCCAGCAGGAGGCCCAGCGCUCAGGGAGCUGUAAACAUCCCUGCCCGGUGGGAGACGACAGCCGGCCCUUUCGGGGGCCCACGUCCCUGGAUGUCUUCACCCCGUGCCGGAGUCCCACCCGGGGGCGUCGGCCACCCUGUCCUCGGCUGCGUGUCCCGGGAAGAGUCCUGUGUCUCCUCCAGGGGCCACCCUGCAUUUCGCAAACCUUGGGGCUGCCGGAGAACUUGGACUUUCCCGAAGAGGGCCCUGGCCCCUUGGCCGCGCUCUCGCUCUCGGGCGGUCCCUCAGUGAGAAGGUCCUCAAGCCAGGCCGGCGGCUGUGCCCGAGUGUGUGCCUUGGCUGCAGAAAGGUCGGAGUUGGUCUUCCGUCCGUUUGUUGGGCCCUGGAGAAGUGGCCCCUUCAUCCUGGCUGUCCUGGGUUGUCAGGAUCCUGAGAUCCGGAGCAGAGGCAGGAGAGUCCAGCCUGGGACCCGAGGCAGUGAGGCGGGGGUGACCCGCAGCCUGGACCCCCCGCCCCCAAUUUACUCUGCGCACAGACUCCAAAGGAACAGGAGCUACGGAUUCCCCGGCACCCUUGGCUCCGCAGAGAAGAGCUGGCCUCGGGCUCCCCGAGCCUCUGGGAACAACGCCGGACGAAGUGGUCGCCCAGCUCCUGCAGGAGGCCGGCCAGCCGGGAGCUCUGCCGAAACGCCAGGAAAGCGCUCUUCUCAAGGAAAAAGAAUGCCAUUUAUCAAGAGAGAACCUUCUCAACCUGUGUCAAGCCCACCACUUCUUCCCCUUUUGAGUUACAGAAAAUAACCCUUCUCAGCCCCAGAGGCUGGAAAAGAUUUCUUUUCAGAGAAAAUCAAUUUGUUCCAGAGGAAGGAAACACACAGCUGCUUCUGCACAGAACUUCACCCUCGGCCUUGUGUUUUUUGGUGAGCGCGCCCACAUGUUUGUGCUUCCUGAUGUUUCAAUGAGUCAUCUCCAAUUUUUUGCCUUAAAAUCUCCACAUGACACACAAAGCGAUUUAGAAAAAUAUGUUUCAAGAUGUCAGAGCCAGAGAGAUGCUUCAAAAACUCAGCGAGGCAAAGAAAAAAAAAAAAAAAUUUCCCGCUGUGGCUCAGUGGUUAACGAACCCAACUAGGAGCCAUGAGGUUGUGGGUUUGAUCCCUGGCCUUGCUCAGUGGGUUGGGGAUCCAGCAUUGCCAU